Molecule: ribosomal RNA, 499 nt
Filed under: uncultured bacterium
Lineage: Bacteria
Description: partial 16S ribosomal RNA
Rfam family: Bacterial small subunit ribosomal RNA
Source: RNAcentral
GACGAACGCUGGCGGCGUGCCUAAUACAUGCAAGUCGAGCGAAGUUUUUCUGGUGCUUGCACCGGAAAAACUUAGCGGCGAACGGGUGAGUAACACGUAAAGAACCUGCCUCAUAGACUGGGACAACUAUUGGAAACGAUAGCUAAUACCGGAUAACAGCAUUAACUGCAUGGUUGAUGUUUAAAAGUUGGUUUUGCUAACACUAUGAGAUGGCUUUGCGGUGCAUUAGCUAGUUGGUGGGGUAAAGGCCUACCAAGGCGACGAUGCAUAGCCGACCUGAGAGGGUGAUCGGCCACACUGGGACUGAGACACGGCCCAGACUCCUACGGGAGGCAGCAGUAGGGAAUCUUCCGCAAUGGGCGAAAGCCUGACGGAGCAACGCCGCGUGAGUGAAGAAGGAUUUCGGUUCGUAAAGCUCUGUUGUUAGGGAAGAAUGAUUGUGUAGUAACGAGACACAGUAGAGACGGUACCUAACCAGAAAGCCACGGCUAACUACGUG